This 145-nucleotide ribosomal RNA is filed under the name Botrytis sp. Its description in RNAcentral is "partial large subunit ribosomal RNA". The record is from RNAcentral. Lineage: Eukaryota; Fungi; Ascomycota; Leotiomycetes; Helotiales; Sclerotiniaceae.
CAGGCCAGCAUCAGUUUGAGUGGUUAGAUAAAGGCUUAGAGAAUGUGGCCCUCUUCGGGGGGUGUUAUAGCUCUAGGUGCAAUGUAGCCUACUUGGACUGAGGACCGCGCUUCGGCUAGGAUGCUGGCGUAAUGGUUGUAAGCGA